GACUGAGCAGCUCUUGCUGGAGACCAAAUAUGGAACAGCAGAUGCUAGAGACUUUGUAUCUUCCCUACAAAGAAAUGGGAUACUGCAAAGCACCACGAGUGUUUCUCCAGCCAUCAGAAAUGUUGCCGAGGGGCCAGAGGGAGGGGAGCUGUUGGUCCCAGUUUCUGCUUUCUCUGGCCAAGCAGUGUCUCUGUAAGUCCCUAAGCUGCUUCUGCACAGAGUGCUGCUCUCAAAAAGUAUGUUUUGCCAUGUUUUAACUUCUCCCUUUCUUUUUGCAGGGAGGAGAGAAGGAAGCAGAGGUUGCGGGGUGGUUGGCAGUGACAGUGACUGAUGUGUGGUUGUUCCUCGGCGGCGUUCUCAGCAGCACGCCCUGGCAAGCCGCUGUUCUACUUGCUUUCAUCACUGUCAUUUUUCCUUUCGGCCGAAGCAUCAUCAAUACCGCACCAAUGUGUUCCCUUUUCAAAGAGCGGCUGUGACUGGACAUGGCUUUGCUUACUGAGCAGAUAAGCUUUUGUGAGUAUCGCAGAGCCAAGGCUGGAUGCAUUCUUCUUCUGACUCUGUACCAUGGCUAUGGCAGCAUCCAAAGAAGAAACCUCCUCACACAGCAGGGAUACAGGUUUAACACUCAUUUAGGCUGGGAUCAAGCGGGAUCCCUCUCAGGUCAGUGUCUGAGCUGCCAGUUUUGUCACCUGCCCCAGUGUCUGGGAGUGCUGGCAGUAGGAGAAUCUCCAGUCGAAGGCUGUCUCGACAGGAUCAGGGCAGCAGUUCAGGAACAUUUCCUACGAUUGCCUUUCCAAAGGCUAAUGAGUUUCCAGGCCAGCCUGCUGACAGCUGUUAUGGCCAGGAAAACUACAGGGAUCCUUAAGUCCAGCCCUUGCAUUUUGCAAGGCUAUGUCAGCCGGUAAUACAAAGCUCAAGCCUGUUCCAUGGAGAGACCUCGUGAUGAGAAAGGAAGAGGGAAAUCUCCCUUACAUAUGCUGCUCAUGCAGAGAGAGCGUAAUCUGCAGCUCACCCCGAUUCUGUAGGGAACGGCAGUGCCAUUUUUUAGAGUGGAUGAUAAUUCUGGGAAAAGACAAGGUUUUGGGUAGAACAUCCAUUCCUCAGGACACUUAAAAACUCUUAUUUAUAGUAUUAUGCUAUUCUGGCUAUACCACCAUUACUGGUCACAUUCCUACUUAAUUAUAAUCCAUGUAAUUAUUUAAUUGUUUCCUUAUUUAUAGUAUUUAUCUGCACUGCAGGUUCCUAUCUGUUUCAGCUACUAGCAAGCAAAUCCCUUUAAUGCCGAAUUAGUGAAGAAGCCAGGAGGGCUUCCCUUGAGAAGGGAAUACAGAGGUCCGUUUUAACCUUUCAUGCGAUUGUCAUAAUUCUGACUUCUGCUGCAGAUUUGUUAGGAUUCUGUAAAGUGUCUUCUAAGAGACUCAUCCCAUGUCUGCCCCUGAAUUUACUGUGUGGCCAAGGGUGUUGGAAGUUAUCUUCCUUCUCUUUCAUUCCGUAGGGAGAAUAGCUCUCAACAAAUAAAGUCUUGCAAAGCAGGAUUUCUGCA
This 1543-nucleotide long non-coding RNA is filed under the name Struthio camelus australis. RNAcentral describes it as "lncRNA (ENSSCUG00000006746.1)". Lineage: Eukaryota; Metazoa; Chordata; Aves; Struthioniformes; Struthionidae. The record is from RNAcentral.